AAGAAUUUUAAAAUCACUUAUUUCUGAGAAAGCCUUCCCCAAGCCCUUCUCUUAAAAAUCCCCUUUCCUUUUUUAGUUAAUGGAUGCUCACCAAAAUAUCACAAAACCACAUUAGAGACUGGCAUAGAAAUUAGCAUAGUCAACUUUGAAUAUAAUAACGGACCAUAGAAGACCAAUGCUUUAUCAAUCAACCACCUCACCCAAAAUCUA
RNAcentral lists this unclassified non-coding RNA (210 nucleotides) under Hevea brasiliensis (rubber tree). The record is from RNAcentral. Lineage: Eukaryota; Viridiplantae; Streptophyta; Magnoliopsida; Malpighiales; Euphorbiaceae.